GCCAUCUUGGACAGGCUUACCCAAGCAAAGUUGGCAAAGAAUUCGGACCAGAGCUCUACUUCAUAAUUAUCUGGGAGGCUGGGAGCUCAAAUGCAUCAUUCUACUGCGACUCUGAGCUGGAAGUAAUCAGAAAAUAUAACACCCAAUGCAUUUUUUAAUAGGUAAAGCAUAAAACUCAAUGCUAGCAUAUAUUAGAAGAAAAAACUUACUUUAAAGCCUUUCUUGACGGGAGUUUUUCAAGAUUUAGAGUCAUCGAGUUCAAAAUGGAUGUAACAUGUUAUAUGUUCACAUUUUUUAUUUUCUUAUUACGUAUGUGUAAGUGAUUCGACUCGAAAAUAGUGGAUUCAAUUAGUUCUAAUUGAAUCCUCUAUAGAUAUGCAUUCACCAUAGGUCCAUAGCAUAUGCAUCACUUUGAUUGAAAAUGGAAGCAUUGUCAAGCAACUGAAUUCAUGGAUCACUAGUUCAUUAAGGGGCAGCAUUUCCAAUUGAAAGAAGGGGUACAGUGGAUU
RNAcentral lists this unclassified non-coding RNA (509 nucleotides) under Hevea brasiliensis (rubber tree). Lineage: Eukaryota; Viridiplantae; Streptophyta; Magnoliopsida; Malpighiales; Euphorbiaceae. The record is from RNAcentral.